RNAcentral lists this ribosomal RNA (448 nucleotides) under uncultured archaeon. RNAcentral's name for it is "bacterial SSU rRNA". It matches the Rfam family "Archaeal small subunit ribosomal RNA", at positions 550 to 997 of the family's 1478-position model. The record is from RNAcentral.
UCUGAUAGCUCAACUAUUAGGCUUUCGGGGGAUACUGCCAGACUUGGAACCGGGAGAGGUAAGAGGUACUACAGGGGUAGGAGUGAAAUCUUGUAAUCCCUGUGGGACCACCUGUGGCGAAGGCGUCUUACCAGAACGGGUUCGACGGUGAGGGACGAAAGCUGGGGGCACGAACCGGAUUAGAUACCCGGGUAGUCCCAGCCGUAAACGAUGCUCGCUAGGUGUCAGGCAUGGCGCGACCGUGUCUGGUGCCGCAGGGAAGCCGUGAAGCGAGCCACCUGGGAAGUACGGCCGCAAGGCUGAAACUUAAAGGAAUUGGCGGGGAGCACAACAACGGGUGGAGCCCUGCGGUUUAAUUGGACUCAACGCCGGACAACUCACCGGGGGCGACAGCAAUAUGUAGGCCAAGCUGAAGACUUUGCCUGAAUCGCUGAGAAGAGGUGCAUGG